GAUGAACGCUGGCGGCGUGCCUAAUACAUGCAAGUCGAGCGAACAGACGAGGAGCUUGCUCCUCUGACGUUAGCGGCGGACGGGUGAGUAACACGUGGAUAACCUACCUAUAAGACUGGGAUAACUUCGGGAAACCGGAGCUAAUACCGGAUAAUAUAUUGAACCGCAUGGUUCAAUAGUGAAAGACGGUUUUGCUGUCACUUAUAGAUGGAUCCGCGCCGCAUUAGCUAGUUGGUAAGGUAACGGCUUACCAAGGCAACGAUGCGUAGCCGACCUGAGAGGGUGAUCGGACACACUGGAACUGAGACACGGGCCAGACUCCUACGGGAGGCAGCAGUAGGGAAUCUUCCGCAAUGGGCGAAAGCCUGACGGAGCAACGCCGCGUGAGUGAUGAAGGUCUUCGGAUCGUAAAACUCUGUUAUUAGGGAAGAACAAAUGUGUAAGUAACUAUGCACGUCUUGACGGUACCUAAUCAGAAAGCCACGGCUAACUACGU
This 496-nucleotide ribosomal RNA is filed under the name uncultured bacterium. RNAcentral describes it as "partial 16S ribosomal RNA". It matches the Rfam family "Bacterial small subunit ribosomal RNA", at positions 28 to 506 of the family's 1533-position model. The record is from RNAcentral.